Molecule: ribosomal RNA, 253 nt
Filed under: uncultured bacterium
Lineage: Bacteria
Description: partial 16S ribosomal RNA
Rfam family: Bacterial small subunit ribosomal RNA
Source: RNAcentral
UACGGAGGGUGCAAGCGUUAAUCGGAAUUACUGGGCGUAAAGCGCACGCAGGUGGCUGAGUCAGUCGAUUGUGAAAGCCCUGGGCUUAACCUGGGAAUUGCAGUCGAUACUACUCGGCUCGAGUAUGGGAGAGGGCAGUGGAAUUCCCGGUGUAGCGGUGAAAUGCGCAGAUAUCAGGAGGAACACCAAUGGCGAAGGCAGCUCGCUGGAACGGUACUGACGCUGAGGCGCGAAAGCGUGGGGAGCGAACAGG